Molecule: long non-coding RNA, 2116 nt
Filed under: Brachypodium distachyon (stiff brome)
Lineage: Eukaryota; Viridiplantae; Streptophyta; Magnoliopsida; Poales; Poaceae
Description: long non-coding RNA (BDIS_LNC000548)
Source: RNAcentral
UCGACUUGCAGUGUUUUGUGGCUAAACUAAGGAUCUGCGGUUAAAGUUCCAAAGAAAAAGUUAUAGCCUGGAUCCUUUGUUUCCCUUAUCAAUUUAGUGGGGUACUCCUACUAUUCUACUCACUCCGAUGCAUAACUUGGAUUUAGUAUACACUUCUGAUUCUAUAGGCCCCCUCUCACGCGCGAGAAAACACAAGACUAGUACCCGGUACCCCUUCGGUUGCAAGAGCAGUUUUGUAAUUAUCACGACCGUACAACCCAGCGUAUGGCCCUCGAGGGUUGUACGCGUCUGUAUUCGUAGGAGUCGACGUGUAUAUGUACUCGCACGACAUACGCCCGUUAUGGAAUAAGAAAACCCACGUCAUCUGCAUCGACUAUUUUCUCGAGAUAUGUGCCCUGCCUCCGGAGUGUCGACGCAGAUCUAUGUCGAUCGGAAAGGUCGAAAGAUGGCGAGGUGGAGUCGGGUCACGGACGACAACGAGUGCCGGACAAGAGUGCAGAUGGAGUGCCACAAGAUUUUUUGGAAACCGCCGGCCAGGAAUGUCUAUCGCGAGGGUGAUUCGUGGCAUAGAGGCAUAGAUUGUGCCGUUCCUGUAUUUUUUUUUCUUUUUUCAAUUACCUGGACACCGUACACAAAUAGGUACUGAUGGAGUAUGCGGCUACAUGAUUAUUGGGACCCGAUGACUUUGGGGUGGGGGGUGUGUGUAUUGAAUAACGUCUCUUUAGUAUAACACAAAGCAACUAGAGUACUCCUACUGAUCUAGUCCCUCCGAUACAUAAUAAGUGUCUUGGAUUUGGUAUAAGAUGGAGCGAGUACAUGGUUCAUCCCAAAAAAAUACUCACACCGUUUCUAAAUUCUGGUCGUGGUUUUAAAUCAAGCAACGGAGGAAGGAGUACACGUGAGAUGGCUACAAGAAAAAUAUCUGACAUGUGGAAACGUGUCCAGGGAGCAGAGUAUUCCACUAACGCGGAGGCGGUGCCACUAGCGUGAUAUACCCGUAUCGUGCCAGCCACUCGUUUUCCACUGGCCAUCCAAUUAGUUCACUUUGUGUUAUAUUAGAGACAGUUAAUUAACAGAAGAAAAAGUACCGUUUGUGUCAGACCAACUUUUUUUACUUUUCUUCUCUCUACUUGUGUCAGUCACUUUUUAAUCUUCUUCUCUCCUUUGUGUCAGUCACUUUUUAUCUUUUUCUCUCUUCUUUGUGUCAGUCACUUACACUUUCACGUAAAGUCCAAGCAAUUUUUCUUUUUCUCACUUUUUUCUAUAAUAUUUUUGUUUCUUUUGUACAUAAAAUUUUAAGUACCUUAUCAAUUUUACACGUGACGGAAUUACUCAAUUUCAAGUAUGUCAUCAAUUUUAUGUACCUCGUCAAUUUAAGUACCCUAUAUACAAUACUCAUUGAUAACUACGAGAACAAUCAAAAGUACUAAGUACUUUCGAAACCAUAGUACCUCAUUAAUUUUUAGUACAUAGCAAAUACAACAAGGUACAUGUCAAGUACAUUAGGAUAGUUACAAUAUAUUAUCAAUUUUGUAUCCUCAACAAUUUUAAGUACCUUCUUAAUUUGAUGUACAUCGAGGUACAUGUCAAGUACAUGACAAUAACUUAUCAAUUUGUGAUAUGAAAUCCUUGUACAUCAAUCCAUGCAAAAAUGAAUACAUGACAAGUACCUUCUCAAAUUGAUGUACAUCACUAAAAAUGCACAUUAAUAUGCAUCAAACAAAUCACAACAUAAGCAUCAUCAAAAAUUAACAAUUAGUACAGUGCCUAAAGCAUCAAAAACAAACAACAAUAUGUGGAUCAAACAAAAAUCAUAGUACAAGCAUCGUCAAAACCUAAUACCUUGUCAUGUACCCAUGGUACAUAUUAAUCUUAUUGCGUACAUUAGCACGUCAAAUAAGAUACCUGCCUAAAGCAUCAAGAAACAAUUACAACACACGAUGAGUACCUCCUGAAUCACACUGACGCUAACCCAAUGGUACAUCAUAACCCAGUGGUACAUCACAGAAAAAGAAGAAAUACACCUUCGAACUCAAAACAAGUUCAUGAUAGGAAGAAAAAAAACUCAAUAUGUCUAGGAAAGGAACUUUGAUCUACUCCACCUGCAAAUCAAUAG